RNAcentral lists this ribosomal RNA (468 nucleotides) under uncultured bacterium. RNAcentral's name for it is "partial 16S ribosomal RNA". It matches the Rfam family "Bacterial small subunit ribosomal RNA", at positions 28 to 507 of the family's 1533-position model. The record is from RNAcentral.
GACGAACGCUGGCGGCGUGCUUAACACAUGCAAGUCGAACGGAAAGGCCCUGCUUUUGUGGGGUGCUCGAGUGGCGAACGGGUGAGUAACACGUGAGUAACCUGCCCUUGACUUUGGGAUAACUUCAGGAAACUGGGGCUAAUACCGGAUAGGAGCCCCUGCUGCAUGGUGGGGGUUGGAAAGUUUCGGCGGUUGGGGAUGGACUCGCGGCUUAUCAGCUUGUUGGUGGGGUAGUGGCUUACCAAGGCUUUGACGGGUAGCCGGCCUGAGAGGGUGACCGGCCACAUUGGGACUGAGAUACGGCCCAGACUCCUACGGGAGGCGGCAGUGGGGAAUAUUGCACAAUGGGCGGAAGCCUGAUGCAGCAACGCCGCGUGCGGGAUGACGGCCUUCGGGUUGUAAACCGCUUUCGCCUGUGACGAAGCGUGAGUGACGGUAAUGGGUAAAGAAGCACCGGCUAACUACGUG